GUGAACGCUGGCGGUAGGCCUAACACAUGCAAGUCGAACGGCAGCACAGUAAGAGCUUGCUCUUACGGGUGGCGAGUGGCGGACGGGUGAGGAAUACAUCGGAAUCUACUUUUUCGUGGGGGAUAACGUAGGGAAACUUACGCUAAUACCGCAUACGACCUACGGGUGAAAGCAGGGGAUCUUCGGACCUUGCGCGAUUGAAUGACCCGAUGUCGGAUUAGCUAGUUGGCGGGGUAAAGGCCCACCAAGGCGACGAUCCGUAGCUGGUCUGAGAGGAUGAUCAGCCACACUGGAACUGAGACACGGUCCAGACUCCUACGGGAGGCAGCAGUGGGGAAUAUUGGACAAAGGGCGCAAGCCUGAUCCAGCCAUACCGCGUGGGUGAAGAAGGCCUUCGGGUUGUAAAGCCCUUUUGUUGGGAAAGAAAAGCAGCAGGUUAAUACCCCGCUGUUCUGACGGUACCCAAAGAAUAAGCACCGGCUAACUUCGUG
RNAcentral lists this ribosomal RNA (491 nucleotides) under uncultured bacterium. Its description in RNAcentral is "partial 16S ribosomal RNA". It matches the Rfam family "Bacterial small subunit ribosomal RNA", at positions 29 to 507 of the family's 1533-position model. The record is from RNAcentral.